RNAcentral lists this long non-coding RNA (1408 nucleotides) under Nicotiana tabacum (common tobacco). RNAcentral's name for it is "long non-coding RNA (NTAB_LNC012374)". The record is from RNAcentral. Lineage: Eukaryota; Viridiplantae; Streptophyta; Magnoliopsida; Solanales; Solanaceae.
CUCUCUCCACUCAAAUUUCUCCUAUCCCCUCAAAUUUCUCGUAUCCCCUACCCCAUAUCUAUUCUCCCUCUCUCUCAUCUUCCACUUCAUCUUACUACCAGAACUCUCCGGCAAAGCAUCAAAUCCAUCCAGUUGAAGGAAGGGAUAUGUUUAAUAUAUACAUGUCAGAGUGUUUUCAAUUAACGGUUCAGUGAGAUGUAUAAUAUUUAAUUUCAUUCACAUGUGCUUAGAUCUUGAUGAGAUUUCCACUCCUUCAGAGAAAAUGGCUUUACUGAUAUGCUAUCUGCCCAUAUAUCAAUGGCAAUGCUGUUGGCCUAGAAACGGACAGGGGAAUUGAGCGAAAUAAACAUUAGGAUUUGUUCUUGAACAAAGACGACGGAGUUUGGGGCUGAACAACUUGAAUUUUCUGUUAAUAUAUUUCAAUGUAUCUCGCUGUAUUUACAUGUAUUUCAUUGUAUUCAUUGUCUUUUUUUUCAUUGUAUUUCAAUGUAUAUCGCUGUAUUCCAUGUAUUUCAUUGUAUUCACUGUCUCGUUGUAUUCCAUGAAUGUGUUCAUAUAUUUUUUUAAUUAAUAUAAUUUAUAUAUUCAGAUGUGUAUAUGUAUUCAAAUUGCUAUGUUUUUGUUGUAUUUAUCGGCUAGGAAAAAUAUUGAGUAUAUUUUCUCUGAAGAUUGCUAUGCUUUUGGAGUGUUUUUCGGAUGAGAAUCUUUUUUAUAAUUGAAAAUACAAAUUUUGUGUUAUAAUUGAGUUUGUUGAGUUAUAUAAGGAGUCUAUUAUGUUAAUUGAUUCACUUUCCGUUUGAAAACGGCUGAAUAGACCAUAAAUUGCGCUAUUUACGUUACUGUAUUCACAAAUACAUAUCGUGAAUAUAAUCGAAUACAAUAAUCUGUCUAGUUGUAAUCCCCUGUUUCACGCCGUGAAUACAAUCGAAUACAAAAAUUUGUCUAGCUGUAAUCCCCUGUUUCACGUCUAGAAAUAUUACUAUAUUUAUAAAUACAGUAGUUUAAAUACAUCGAAUACACCCUAAAAAACCUGAAAACAUAGCUAUAAGAAAUAAUAUAGUAAAUAGUAGCUACAACUAGCUAAUAACCAUUAAAACAUACUAGUGGUUUCUGAACGAUCGAACAAUACAUGUUUUAAUUAAUUAAUGUUCUAAGCUAAAUAUAUCAAACCAGAAUUUAUCAAUAAGUGAGUGUUUAAAGUGCAAUUAUCCCCAUUACAUCAAACUUUAAUGAAAUUAUUAAUAGUGCCGAAAUUAAAGUGGGAAGCAUUGAUUAGGAUAUAAUAAAGUAGCUGUCAAAAGGAAGUUUCGAGUUGUAAUGUAACAGAAUCAUGUCUGUGCUUUAUCUCCUAAUUAGGUCAUUUUCUAACAAAAUUGAAUGGUAUAUAUGAGGAUAAGAAAAAAAAAAA